UGCUUAAAUAUUCAGACACUUUCUGAAUCAGUCACAGUUUCAGUCAGUGAGCUCAGGACUCCCACCACACUGGGAAAAUAGGUUCUCCUCAACUCCCCUCUUAGCUUUCUACCUGUGAACUUCAAUCUGUGCCCCCUGUUUAUUGACAUGUCUACGAAUGGAAAAAGCAACUUCCAGUUAACCUUUCCAUGUCCUUCAAAAUCUUAAACACCUUCACCAUGUUCCCUAGUCUGCUCCAAUCUUGGCAUCGGUCAGAUGGGCAGGUCAGUGGCUAAUUGAUGUAGCCUGAAGAAGGAAUAAGAUGAGAGUACUUAACGUGGCAAAGCCUGUCGUGCCCGAUGGACGUCAGCAAUGGCAGUCAGCAGUGAAGUCCACUGGCAAGGAUGGGCGGGCCCUAGCCCAACGCAGGGGAAUACAAACCGUCACGGGGGAAGCCUCGUUCAGAGUGUCUGCAAAUUCGUGGCUUAAGAAAGGACUGUAAUGUUUGACUUUUUAAACUUUUGUUUUUAUUUUUCUACUGUUAUACUAAGAAGACUGUAGUGCUGAACUUUUUAACUUAUUCAUUUAUUUUUCUAACAUAGAACGUGGAACGGUACAGCGCAGUACAGGCCCUUCGGCCCACGAUGUUGUAUCGAACUUUUACCCUCAUCCUAAGGGUAAGGACUGCCUGCAAAAUCUGAGAUUGGGUUUUGAAAGACAUCAACCUUUGCUUGCGAGAGAUAAUGGUAACUGCAGAUGCUAGAGAAUGCGAGAUAACAAUGUGUGGAGCUGGAUGAACACAGCAGGCCAAGCAGCAUCUCAGGAGCACAAAAGCUGACAUUUCGGGCCUCGACCCUUCAUGCGAGAGAACGUAACGUUUUUAAAGAAGAAAUUGCCCCAGUCAAACAAGAAGUCAAAAUAUUAAAUGAUCUGGCCAGUCAAUUACCUCCGCUUGAUGUCUCUUUCUCUCCAAAGAUUUCUCACCAGCUUGACGACCUAAAUAUGAGGUUGAAAUUUAUACAGCAGCAGGAGGUGAGGAGGCAGAGACUGCAACCCUGAGGUCACGGAGGGAAGGAAAAGAGGCUCUUACUUGGAGAUUGAGAAGCAGGAGAGGGCACAACCCAGAGGUUUGGGAGUGGAGAGAGGCUGCAAGUUGGAGGUCAAGGAAUUACUGAACCAAACAACAGAAUAUGACCAGCAUCACUGACGGUUCCCUCGUUGGAUUUGACAUGUUGCAUUUGAGAAGGAAAUGGCCUGUUUCCAUCAUUCCAGAGUACUUUUGUGAAUCCUUGUAUUUAUUUCUGGGCCAAAUACAGGAAUUAAUUUUAUUUAAUAGCUCCAAUAAGUUAAAACUGUAAUCGAAGUUAGUUUUCUUCCUCCUUUGUCGUGUAUCUGUUGGAGUUGCACACAGCACAACGCGUCUUGGAUCAACACAAAUUGACACAAAAUGAGCAACUUCUAAAUGUGACUGAAGUAAUCAACUGUUUAAUGACCAUUUAUGAUGGUUUGGAACAAAAUCACAAGGAUUUGGUCAACGUGCCACUCUGUGUCGAAAUGUGUCUGAACUAGCUGCUGAACGUCUUUGAUCCCUAUGUAUGAUUUACACUUUAAUGUAAGUUUAGAUUGUCCUAAGGUGCACUAAACUGCAUGCGACAUAUUGGAUUUUGAUAUGUACAGGAUCAGUUAAGUAAAUGUGAAGAUUGUGGACUGAUUAAAAUCAAUCCGAGUAUUGUUGACAUAAGGUUUCAGUAUGUUCUAGUUUCAUUUCAGUUCAACAGAUAAAGUAGUUGACAGUUUUAGCGACUUUUGUUUUAAAUCAUAAAAUUGAAACUGAUAUACUUUUGAUUCCAUUUGGUCAGAUCUGCCCAGGAUCAUGUAGACAUCUUGACAUUCUGAUUGUAAUGCUCUUCACGGUGACAAAUGUUAGUGCUGGAGAAUGACAUGUAUAAAAUACACAAUAUGAACAUCAUCCAGUUAAUGUCAAGGAAUAAACGGCCAGACGUAGAAUAAAUUUUCAUAUGACCCUCAAUCUCAUAGAGUCAUACAGCAUAGAAACACCAUAUCUAUGCCUACCAACAAACACCAAGCUGCACUAAUCUCAUUUGUCAACACUUGGUCCAGAGCCUACUUUGACCUAGCAUUUUAAAUGCUCAUCCCAGAUGCUUUUUAAAUGUUGAGAAUACCUGCAUCAAAAACCCUCUCAAGCAGUGUGCUCCAUAUGUCUAUCACUUUUUAGAUGAAAAAGCUUUCAGACUUCCUCCAAAGCAUUUAAUCCUCACCUUAAACUUGUGCCAUCUGGUCUUAGACACAUGUGCCAUGGGGAAUGGAUUCUCACCAUGUAUUCUGCCCGUGCCUGUCAUAAUUUUCUAUGCCUCAAUCAGAUCCCCACCCACACCUCCGCCUCCUCUGCUCCAAGGAAAACAAACCCAGCAUACCAGUCUAUCUCAUAACUGAGACUUUUUAACCUAGCCAGUAUCUUGAAGAGCAUUAACUGUGCCAUUGUGGUAUUUU
Stegostoma tigrinum is the source of this 2490-nucleotide long non-coding RNA. RefSeq lists it as uncharacterized. The record is from RefSeq and is a predicted model, not a curated record. Lineage: Eukaryota; Metazoa; Chordata; Chondrichthyes; Orectolobiformes; Stegostomatidae. The transcript has 5 exons.